Molecule: small nucleolar RNA, 75 nt
Organism: Sphaerodactylus townsendi
Lineage: Eukaryota; Metazoa; Chordata; Lepidosauria; Squamata; Sphaerodactylidae
Product: small nucleolar RNA SNORD47
Exons: 1
Source: RefSeq, a predicted model, not a curated record
AACCAAUGAUGAAACUAGAUUCUGCCAGAUGAGAGCCCAUGAUAUUAACCUUCUACCGUUCCAUUUACUGAGGUU